This 251-nucleotide ribosomal RNA is filed under the name uncultured prokaryote. RNAcentral describes it as "partial 16S rRNA". It matches the Rfam family "Bacterial small subunit ribosomal RNA", at positions 525 to 775 of the family's 1533-position model. The record is from RNAcentral.
ACGGAGGGUGCAAUCCUUCCUCUUAAUUACUUGGCGUAAAGCGCACGUAGGCUGUAGUGUAAGUCAGGGGUGAAAUCCCACGGCUCAACCGCGGAACUGCCUUUGAUACUGCACAACUUGAAUCCGGGAGAGGGUGGCGGAAUUCCAGGUGUAGGAGUGAAAUCCGUAGAUAUCUGGAGGAACAUCAGUGGCGAAGGCGGCCACCUGGACCGGUAUUGACGCUGAGGUGCGAAAGCGUGGGGAGCAAACAG